CUACGGGAGGCAGCAGUAGGGAAUAUUGCGCAAUGGACGAAAGUCUGACGCAGCAACGCCGCGUGAGCGAUGAAGGUCUUCGGAUCGUAAAGCUCUGUCAGAGGGGACGAACCGUUUCGCGUCGAAUAGACGCGGAGCCUGACGGUACCCUCAGAGGAAGCACCGGCCAACUCCGUGCCAGCAGCCGCGGUAAUACGGAGGGUGCAAACGUUGUUCGGAUUUACUGGGCGUAAAGCGCGAGCAGGCGGGGCAGCAAGUCUUGUGUGUAAUCUUUCGGCUUAACCGGAAAACUGCACGGGAAACUACUGAUCUUGAGUGCGAGAGAGGAUGGCGGAAUUCCUGGUGUAGCGGUGAAAUGCGUAGAUAUCAGGAGGAACACCGGUGGCGAAGGCGGCCAUCUGGCUCGACACUGACGCUCAUUCGCGAAGGUCGGGGGAGCAAACAGGAUUAGAUACCCGGGUAGUC
RNAcentral lists this ribosomal RNA (465 nucleotides) under uncultured bacterium. RNAcentral describes it as "partial 16S ribosomal RNA". It matches the Rfam family "Bacterial small subunit ribosomal RNA", at positions 339 to 795 of the family's 1533-position model. The record is from RNAcentral.